AAUUCGCCCUUAGAGUUUGAUCAUGGCUCAGAUUGAACGCUGGCGGCAUGCCUUACACAUGCAAGUCGAACGGUAACGCGGGGCAACCUGGCGACGAGUGGCGAACGGGUGAGUAAUAUAUCGGAACGUGCCCAGUCGUGGGGGAUAACUGCUCGAAAGAGCAGCUAAUACCGCAUACGACCUGAGGGUGAAAGCGGGGGAUCUUCGGACCUCGCGCGAUUGGAGCGGCCGAUAUCAGAUUAGGUAGUUGGUGGGGUAAAGGCCUACCAAGCCGACGAUCUGUAGCUGGUCUGAGAGGACGACCAGCCACACUGGGACUGAGACACGGCCCAGACUCCUACGGGAGGCAGCAGUGGGGAAUUUUGGACAAUGGGGGCAACCCUGAUCCAGCCAUGCCGCGUGCGGGAAGAAGGCCUUCGGGUUGUAAACCGCUUUUGUCAGGGAAGAAAUCCUUUGGGCUAAUAACUCGGAGGGAUGACGGUA
Molecule: ribosomal RNA, 483 nt
Filed under: uncultured bacterium
Lineage: Bacteria
Description: bacterial SSU rRNA
Rfam family: Bacterial small subunit ribosomal RNA
Source: RNAcentral